RNA transcript from Panicum virgatum (switchgrass), 2784 nucleotides. It is a transcript of the gene named CBL-interacting protein kinase 9, with no coding region annotated. NCBI's taxonomy places the organism in Eukaryota, Viridiplantae, Streptophyta, Magnoliopsida, Poales, Poaceae. The transcript has 15 exons. The record is from RefSeq and is a predicted model, not a curated record.
AGGGGGCGGACGGCGGCAGCCACAGCAAAUCCACCGCGCUCUCGUCCCGUCGAUCCAACGAAACGCGCCAACCAAACAACGCGACCCCGCGGCGCCCCGUCGCGCCCGCCCUGUCCGAGCCUCCGAUCGGCUCGCCUGUCCCGCCGGCCCGGAUGGCGGAGUCCGCGGCGCCCAAGCCGCCGGCGGCGGCGGCGGGGAGGAAGACGCGGGUGGGGCCGUACGAGCUCGGGAAGACCAUCGGGGAGGGGAGCUUCGCCAAGGUCAAGCACGCGCGCGACUCCCGCACCGGCGCCGUCUGCGCCAUCAAGGUGCUCGACCGCAACCACGUCCUCCGGCACAAGAUGGUCGAGCAGAUCAAACGGGAGAUUUCGACUAUGAAGCUAAUCAAACAUCCCAAUGUGGUCCAGUUGCAUGAGGUUAUGGCUAGCAAAACAAAGAUAUACAUGGUUCUUGAAUUUGCUGAAGGAGGGGAGCUAUUUGAUAAAAUUGUCAAUUCUGGGAGGCUGGGUGAAGAUGAAGCAAGGAGAUACUUUCAUCAACUUAUAAAUGCGGUUGAUUACUGCCAUAGUCGAGGAGUUUACCAUAGAGACCUGAAGCCAGAAAAUUUGCUUCUUGAUUCACAUGGAUCCCUUAAAGUUUCAGACUUCGGACUGAGUGCCUUCGCACCACAAACAAAAGAGGAUGGGCUUCUGCAUACUGCUUGUGGAACGCCAAACUAUGUUGCACCUGAGGUGCUUGCCGAUAAAGGUUAUGAUGGUAUGGCUGCUGAUGUAUGGUCCUGUGGCAUAAUCCUAUUUGUUCUUAUGGCCGGAUAUUUACCCUUUGAUGAUUCCAAUCUUUCGAGGCUGUACAAACUGAUCUGCCAGGCAAAUUUUUCUUGUCCGCCAUGGUUCUCUCCCAGUGCAAAGAAAUUCAUUAAGCGCAUUAUUGAUCCUAAUCCUGAAACGAGGAUAACAAUUGCAGAAAUUUUGAAAGAUGAAUGGUUCAAAAAGGACUAUAAGCCACCACGUUUUGAACAAGGUGAAGAUGUUAGCCUUGAUGAUGUUGAUGCUGCAUUCAAUGAUUCAGAGGAAUAUCUUGUGGCGGAGAAAAGGGAGAGACCAGAAUCCAUGAAUGCAUUUGCUCUUAUUUCAAGAUCACAGGGCUUCAACCUUGGAAAUCUUUUUGAGAAGGAGAUGAUGGGAACGGUAAAGCGGGAAACAUCCUUUACAUCUCAAUGUACGGCACAAGAGAUCAUGUCUAAAAUAGAAGAGGCUUGUGGACCACUUGGUUUCAAUGUGCGGAAGCAAAAUUAUAAGAUGAAAUUGAAAGGUGAUAAGACUGGAAGAAAAGGUCAUUUGUCUGUAGCAACGGAGGUUUUUGAGGUUGCUCCAUCGCUUCACAUGGUUGAGCUUCGUAAAACUGGAGGAGACACAUUGGAGUUUCACAAUUUCUACAAGAAUUUCUCGUCAGAGUUGAAAGAUAUAGUGUGGAAUGCUGAAUCUGACGCAAGUAAGAAACAGGCAAAGUAAUUCCAACGGGACCUGUUGUGUAUCUUCAAAGGCCGCAUUUGUAGGCCGUCUGUUCGAAUGGUACCGCAUUAGCGGUCAAAAUCUUUCUGGAGUAAAAGAGGGCGCCUUUUUAAUGAGCGCGAUUGUACACAUACAUAUGACGAGGCCCUCCCUGGGAUCCUGGCAUCCUGGUAAUAUUGUAACGGCAAUAUGUAUGGGAUGUAAAGUAGGUAUCCUGAAUGCUUCGGUUGCCACCAGGGCUGAGUGUGCCUUUAUUCAGUUUCAAGGUUCUCUCGUCCAGGUCCAGCGAAUUUUCAGCGGGCUCAGCCGGAUGUGACCCCUGCUCUGCGCACAUAAAUGGUUAGAAUUUUGUUUGCUUACGGUAAACCGACCUUUAUCUUGGCGCCCCUGGAGUAGUUGCCUCUGGUAUGACCAAGUGUACAUGUACCCUGCUGGAUACGGUAUCAGGGCAGUCUGAAUGUGUAAGAUAAUCCACCGUGACUCAAGUUGGUGAACCCUGGAGCUAGGACCUGCACGGGAGUUGCAGAACUCGUUAUGCCUGAACUCGAUGGAGGUGAAGACCACUGAAAGUGAAGCUGCAGCUACCUGCCGCUGGAGGUGGACACUUCGGGACUUAACAAGUAAAAUUACUGCAAAUGCAGGUGUUCGUCGGUGGUUCUGGUAGGAAUUCGAUAGGCUUCAAAAGCUGCAACCUCUCCCAAUCAAAGCCUAAGGAUGGUUUUUUUUUUCACCACAGGCUUGGCUCCUUCAAAUAGGCUAAUUUUACUGUCUUUAGAGGUACCGCUAAAUUUAACCAGACAGUAAAAAGGACUAUUGAAAAUAGAGAAAUUUUACGAAAAAAGUUCAAGGUAAAAAUACCUGAAAGUACCCAUUGGUACUUUACAAUCAUUAUAAAAGAGCUCUUGAAAAUAACAUGUUUUGGUGCCAUUAGCAGUGCAGGACUACAAUUGCCAGAUUUGACAAGGUUAUUGAGGUUGCGACCACAGUGUUAGGGUGUACUUCUGAUAAUGGAAUAAAGGGUGGUCUUGGUCUUUCUCAUCUUCAUUUCUAAUUUCAUUAAAUAAGGCUAUGUUUAGCAUUGCUUUAGCUAAUUAGCUUCACUUGUCUUCUUCUGUUUCAGGAUAGGUGGCUGGUUAAAAGCAGCUCUGUAGGAGCAAUAAGAACAAAAAUUCACCAUUUAAAAAAAAACAUUUCGACAAAUGCAAAACGAUAUUUUAAGGAAGUCGGUAUGUUUCUUUUUGGAGACGAUAUAUGUAUGUCUACAUCUAUGAUC